AGCGGCGAGCGAACGGGGAUGAGCCCAGAGCCUGAAUCAGCAUGUGUGUUAGUGGAAGCGUCUGGAAAGGCGCGCGAUACAGGGUGACAGCCCCGUACACAAAAGCGCAUAUGCUGUGAGCUCGAUGAGUAGGGCGGGACACGUGGUAUCCUGUCUGAAUAUGGGGGGACCAUCCUCCAAGGCUAAAUACUCCUGACUGACCGAUAGUGAACCAGUACCGUGAGGGAAAGGCGAAAAGAACCCCGGCGAGGGGAGUGAAAAAGAACCUGAAACCGUGUACGUACAAGCAGUGGGAGCCCCACCACUAAGCCAGUGGUGAACUCCACAUACGCAUCCUUUGCUGAGGAUACGGUUAACGGAGCGAAAGCGACGUUCAACCUCAAAAGAAGCAGAGGGGGCUUAGUGGUGGGGUGACUGCGUACCUUUUGUAUAAUGGGUCAGCGACUUAUAUUCUGUAGCAAGGUUAACCGAAUAGGGGA
Molecule: ribosomal RNA, 479 nt
Filed under: Salmonella enterica subsp. enterica serovar Schwarzengrund
Lineage: Bacteria; Pseudomonadati; Pseudomonadota; Gammaproteobacteria; Enterobacterales; Enterobacteriaceae
Description: bacterial LSU rRNA
Rfam family: Bacterial large subunit ribosomal RNA
Source: RNAcentral